GCAUUUUCUUUCUUAGGUACCAUGGUGAGAUGACGAAGGGAUGUUAUUCGUGAGAUUUCUUCUUCUAUUAGUGAUGAUAGUUGAAGGAGUGAGGAGAUGGAAAUGAGCGAGGAGAUUGAAGAAAGUGAAGAAGAGAGAUUUCCUUUACCCCAACUUGUGGUCAGGCGUCAAUGGGAGAGCAAAUCUUGAUGCCCUGAAACUACAAUCUUUGAUAGCGCUAGAUUCACAACUUUAAAAAAUUAAGAGUGGCACAAAAAUCAUGCUAACUUGGAGUUCAUUUUUGAAAAGCACAUCCACUCGAAAAUUGAGACAGUCUAUCAUAUCAUGGAGGCAUUUAACCAA
This 342-nucleotide long non-coding RNA is filed under the name Coffea arabica (coffee). Its description in RNAcentral is "long non-coding RNA (CARA_LNC004758)". The record is from RNAcentral. Lineage: Eukaryota; Viridiplantae; Streptophyta; Magnoliopsida; Gentianales; Rubiaceae.